UCGCUGCCCGGAACUGAGCCGUUUCGAGAAGAACAGGGACUGCUGAUUGUUGGCCUUCGGGUUGCCUCUUGGCGGAAACUGUUUUAAUCGGUAUGGCUUGAACCGGGCAA
Molecule: ribosomal RNA, 110 nt
Filed under: uncultured eukaryote
Lineage: Eukaryota
Description: partial small subunit ribosomal RNA
Source: RNAcentral